Molecule: small nucleolar RNA, 77 nt
Organism: Cricetulus griseus (Chinese hamster)
Lineage: Eukaryota; Metazoa; Chordata; Mammalia; Rodentia; Cricetidae
Product: small nucleolar RNA SNORD126
Source: Ensembl
AGUUUGCUAUGAUGAAGUACAUGUCAAGUCCGUGUUUCAGCUGAUCACACUGAUUAAACACAUGUGCUGAGCAGACU